RNAcentral lists this transfer RNA (71 nucleotides) under Marmota monax (woodchuck). RNAcentral describes it as "tRNA.Thr". It matches the Rfam family "tRNA". Rfam says of the family: Transfer RNA (tRNA) molecules are approximately 80 nucleotides in length. The record is from RNAcentral. Lineage: Eukaryota; Metazoa; Chordata; Mammalia; Rodentia; Sciuridae.
UGGGGUUAGCUCAGUGGUAGAGCGCUUGCCUUGUAUGUGUGAGGCCCUGGGUUCGAUCCUCAGCACCACAU